RNAcentral lists this ribosomal RNA (915 nucleotides) under uncultured archaeon. RNAcentral describes it as "bacterial SSU rRNA". It matches the Rfam family "Archaeal small subunit ribosomal RNA", at positions 1 to 922 of the family's 1478-position model. The record is from RNAcentral.
UUCCGGUUGAUCCCGCCGGAGGCUACCGCUAUUGGAGUUCGAUUAAGCCAUGCGAGUCGAGAGUCUUAGGGACUCGGCGCACCGCUCAGUAACACGUGGGUAACCUGCCCUAUGCUGGGGAAUAACCUCGGGAAACUGAGAAUAAUGCCCCAUAGCCCACUACGCCUGGAACGGUGAGUGGGUCAAAGCUCCGGCGGCAUAGGAUGGGCCUGCGCCGUAUCAGGUUGUAGGGGGUGUAAAGUACCCUCUAGCCAUCAACGCGUACGGGUGUUGGGAGACAUUGCCCGGAGAUGGAUUCUGAGACACGAAUCCAGACCCUACGGGGUGCAGCAGGCGCGAAAACUUGGCAAUGCGAGCAAUCGUGACCAGGGAACUCCAAGUGCGUAGGGUAAGACCUACGCUUUUCUUGACUCUUCAAAGGUCUUGGAAUAAGGGGUGGGUAAGGACGGUGCCAGCCGCCGCGGUAAUACCGGCGCCUCAAGUGGUAGUCGCUUUUAUUGGGCCUAAAACGUCCGUAGCCGGUCUGGUGCAUUCGUGGGUAAAUCAACCCGCUCAACGGGUUGAAUUCUGCGAGCACGGCCAGACUUGGGACCGGGAGAGGUGUGGGGUACUCUCAGGGUAGGGGUAAAAUCCUGUCAUCCUGAGAGGACCACCUGUUGCGAAGGCGCCACACUAGAACGGAUCCGACGGUCAGGGACGAAACCUAGGGGCACGAACCGGAUUGGAUACCCGGGUAGUCCUAGGUGUAAACGCUGUGGACUUGAUGUUGGGGGCGCUCCGAGCGCUUUCAGUGUCGAAGCGAAGGUGAUAAGUCCACUGCCUGGGGAGUACGGUCGCAAGGCUGAAACUUAAAGGAAUUGGCGGGGGAGCACUGCAACCUGAGGAUUGUGCGGUUUAAUUGGAUUCAACGCCGGA